RNAcentral lists this ribosomal RNA (299 nucleotides) under uncultured bacterium. RNAcentral describes it as "partial 16S ribosomal RNA". It matches the Rfam family "Bacterial small subunit ribosomal RNA", at positions 29 to 334 of the family's 1533-position model. The record is from RNAcentral.
AAUGAACGCUGGCGGUGUGCCUAACACAUGCAAGUCGAGCGAGAACAGCCUUCGGGCUUAGUACAGCGGCGGACGGGUGAGUAACGCGUAAGAAUCUACCUUUUAGUGAAGAAUACCUUCGGGAAACUGGAGUUAAUGCUGCAUAAGUUCCUUCGGGAAGAAAGAUGGCCUCUUUGCUGUCGCUAAAAGAUGAGCUUGCGUACUAUUAGCUAGUUGGUGGGGUAAAAGCCUACCAAGGCGAAGAUGGUUAGCCGGCCUGAGAGGGUGAACGGUCACAUUGGAACUGAGACACGGUCCAG